AGCGCAUACGGUGGAUGCCUUGGCAGUCAGAGGCGAUGAAAGACGUGGUAGCCUGCGAAAAGCUUCGGGGAGUCGGCAAACAGACUUUGAUCCGGAGAUCUCUGAAUGGGGGAACCCACCUAGGAUAACCUAGGUAUCUUGUACUGAAUCCAUAGGUGCAAGAGGCGAACCAGGGGAACUGAAACAUCUAAGUACCCUGAGGAAAAGAAAUCAACCGAGAUUCCCUUAGUAGUGGCGAGCGAACGGGGAUUAGCCCUUAAGCUUCAUUGAUUUUAGCGGAACGCUCUGGAAAGUGCGGCCAUAGUGGGUGAUAGCCCCGUACGCGAAAGGAUCUUUGAAGUGAAAUCGAGUAGGACGGAGCACGAGAAACUUUGUCUGAACAUGGGGGGACCAUCCUCCAAGGCUAAAUACUACUGACUGACCGAUAGUGAACCAGUACCGUGAGGGAAAGGCGAAAAGAACCCCGGAGAGGGGAGUGAAAUAGAACCUGAAACCGUAUGCGUACAAGCAGUGGGAGCCUACUUGUUAGGUGACUGCGUACCUUUUGUAUAAUGGGUCAGCGACUUAUAUUCAGUGGCAAGCUUAACCGUAUAGGGUAGGCGUAGCGAAAGCGAGUCUUAAUAGGGCGUUUAGUCGCUGGGUAUAGACCCGAAACCGGGCGAUCUAUCCAUGAGCAGGUUGAAGGUUAGGUAACACUGACUGGAGGACCGAACCCACUCCCGUUGAAAAGGUAGGGGAUGACUUGUGGAUCGGAGUGAAAGGCUAAUCAAGCUCGGAGAUAGCUGGUUCUCCUCGAAAGCUAUUUAGGUAGCGCCUCAUGUAUCACUCUGGGGGGUAGAGCACUGUUUCGGCUAGGGGGUCAUCCCGACUUACCAAACCGAUGCAAACUCCGAAUACCCAGAAGUGCCGAGCAUGGGAGACACACGGCGGGUGCUAACGUCCGUCGUGAAAAGGGAAACAACCCAGACCGCCAGCUAAGGUCCCAAAGUUGUGGUUAAGUGGUAAACGAUGUGGGAAGGCUUAGACAGCUAGGAGGUUGGCUUAGAAGCAGCCACCCUUUAAAGAAAGCGUAAUAGCUCACUAGUCGAGUCGGCCUGCGCGGAAGAUGUAACGGGGCUCAAACCACACACCGAAGCUGCGGGUGUCACGUAAGUGACGCGGUAGAGGAGCGUUCUGUAAGCCUGUGAAGGUGAGUUGAGAAGCUUGCUGGAGGUAUCAGAAGUGCGAAUGCUGACAUGAGUAACGACAAUGGGUGUGAAAAACACCCACGCCGAAAGACCAAGGGUUCCUGCGCAACGUUAAUCGACGCAGGGUUAGUCGGUUCCUAAGGCGAGGCUGAAAAGCGUAGUCGAUGGGAAACAGGUUAAUAUUCCUGUACUUCUGGUUACUGCGAUGGAGGGACGGAGAAGGCUAGGCCAGCUUGGCGUUGGUUGUCCAAGUUUAAGGUGGUAGGCUGAAAUCUUAGGUAAAUCCGGGGUUUCAAGGCCGAGAGCUGAUGACGAGUCGUCUUUUAGAUGACGAAGUGGUUGAUGCCAUGCUUCCAAGAAAAGCUUCUAAGCUUCAGGUAACCAGGAACCGUACCCCAAACCGACACAGGUGGUCGGGUAGAGAAUACCAAGGCGCUUGAGAGAACUCGGGUGAAGGAACUAGGCAAAAUGGCACCGUAACUUCGGGAGAAGGUGCGCCGGCUAGGGUGAAGGAUUUACUCCGUAAGCUCUGGCUGGUCGAAGAUACCAGGCCGCUGCGACUGUUUAUUAAAAACACAGCACUCUGCAAACACGAAAGUGGACGUAUAGGGUGUGACGCCUGCCCGGUGCCGGAAGGUUAAUUGAUGGGGUUAGCGCAAGCGAAGCUCUUGAUCGAAGCCCCGGUAAACGGCGGCCGUAACUAUAACGGUCCUAAGGUAGCGAAAUUCCUUGUCGGGUAAGUUCCGACCUGCACGAAUGGCGUAACGAUGGCGGCGCUGUCUCCACCCGAGACUCAGUGAAAUUGAAAUCGCUGUGAAGAUGCAGUGUAUCCGCGGCUAGACGGAAAGACCCCGUGAACCUUUACUGUAGCUUUGCACUGGACUUUGAGCCUGCUUGUGUAGGAUAGGUGGGAGGCUUUGAAGCGUGGACGCCAGUUCGCGUGGAGCCAUCCUUGAAAUACCACCCUGGCAUGCUUGAGGUUCUAACUCUGGUCCGUAAUCCGGAUCGAGGACAGUGUAUGGUGGGCAGUUUGACUGGGGCGGUCUCCUCCUAAAGAGUAACGGAGGAGUACGAAGGUGCGCUCAGACCGGUCGGAAAUCGGUCGCAGAGUAUAAAGGCAAAAGCGCGCUUGACUGCGAGACAGACACGUCGAGCAGGUACGAAAGUAGGGCUUAGUGAUCCGGUGGUUCUGUAUGGAAGGGCCAUCGCUCAACGGAUAAAAGGUACUCCGGGGAUAACAGGCUGAUACCGCCCAAGAGUUCAUAUCGACGGCGGUGUUUGGCACCUCGAUGUCGGCUCAUCACAUCCUGGGGCUGAAGCCGGUCCCAAGGGUAUGGCUGUUCGCCAUUUAAAGUGGUACGCGAGCUGGGUUUAGAACGUCGUGAGACAGUUCGGUCCCUAUCUGCCGUGGACGUUUGAGAUUUGAGAGGGGCUGCUCCUAGUACGAGAGGACCGGAGUGGACGAACCUCUGGUGUUCCGGUUGUCACGCCAGUGGCAUUGCCGGGUAGCUAUGUUCGGAAAAGAUAACCGCUGAAAGCAUCUAAGCGGGAAACUUGCCUCAAGAUGAGAUCUCACUGGGAACUUGAUUCCCCUGAAGGGCCGUCGAAGACUACGACGUUGAUAGGCUGGGUGUGUAAGCGUUGU
RNAcentral lists this ribosomal RNA (2832 nucleotides) under synthetic metagenome. RNAcentral describes it as "bacterial LSU rRNA". It matches the Rfam family "Bacterial large subunit ribosomal RNA". The record is from RNAcentral.